Molecule: non-coding RNA, 69 nt
Organism: Pangasius djambal
Lineage: Eukaryota; Metazoa; Chordata; Actinopteri; Siluriformes; Pangasiidae
Source: the annotation of a GenBank genome assembly
UCCCUAGUGGUCUGGCGGUGGUCUAGCGCUCUCACCACCGUGGCCCGGGUUCGAUUCCCGGGCAGGGAA